GAUUGACCUCGGAUCAGGUAGGGAUACCCGCUGAACUUAAGCAUAUCAAUAAGCGGAGGAAAAGAAACCAACAGGGAUUGCCUCAGUAACGGCGAGUGAAGCGGCAACAGCUCAAAUUUGAAAUCUGGUCCUUUCAGGCCCCGAGUUGUAAUUUGUAGAGGAUGUUUCGGGCGCGGCGCGGGUCUAAGUCCUUUGGAACAGGGCGUCAGAGAGGGUGAGAAUCCCGUAUGCGACCCGUGGCCAACCCCAUCUGAAACCCCUUCGACGAGUCGAGUUGUUUGGGAAUGCAGCUCAAAAUGGGUGGUAAAUUUCAUCUAAAGCUAAAUACCGGCCAGAGACCGAUAGCGCACAAGUAGAGUGAUCGAAAGAUGAAAAGCACUUUGGAAAGAGAGUCAAACAGUACGUGAAAUUGUUGAAAGGGAAGCGCUUGCGACCAGACCUGCCCGCGGGCGAUCAACCCCCGUUCUCGGGGGUGCACUCGUCCGCGAUCAGGCCAGCAUCGGUUUGGGCGGUCGGAUAAAGGCCUUGGGAAUGUAGCUUCCUCCGGGGAGUCUUAUAGCCCUCGGUGCAAUGCGGCCAGCCCGGACCGAGGACCGCGCUUCGGCUAGGAUGCUGGCGUAAUGGUCGUAAGCGACCCGUCUUGAAACACGGACCAAGGAGUCUAACAUCUAUGCAAGUGUUUGGGUGUGAAACCCAUGCGCGGAAUGAAAGUGAACGGAGGUGAGAACCCUCAAGGGCGCAUCAUCGACCGAUCCAGAUGUCUUCGGAUGGAUUUGAGUACGAGCAUAGCUGUUGGGACCCGAAAGAUGGUGAACUAUGCCUGAAUAGGGUGAAGCCAGAGGAAACUCUGGUGGAGGCUCGCAGCGGUUCUGACGUGCAAAUCGAUCGUCAAAUUUGGGUAUAGGGGCGAAAGACUAAUCGAACC
RNAcentral lists this ribosomal RNA (925 nucleotides) under Stereocaulon paschale. Its description in RNAcentral is "LSU rRNA". It matches the Rfam family "Eukaryotic large subunit ribosomal RNA", at positions 1 to 941 of the family's 3401-position model. The record is from RNAcentral. Lineage: Eukaryota; Fungi; Ascomycota; Lecanoromycetes; Lecanorales; Stereocaulaceae.